This is a long non-coding RNA of Lycium ferocissimum, 1550 nucleotides long. RefSeq lists it as uncharacterized. Lineage: Eukaryota; Viridiplantae; Streptophyta; Magnoliopsida; Solanales; Solanaceae. The transcript is spliced from 4 exons. The record is from RefSeq and is a predicted model, not a curated record.
UUCUUUGAUUACUGGAGCAUCAUAAAAGUUUUUCAUCCAUGCUGACAAGUGAGGAAAUUUGCCUGCAUCAAACAACUUCAGGUCGAUUGCCUCCUCGAACACAUCAAGAAGAUACGCCAACCAACCAAGUACAAGGUCCAGAAGCUGCAGAUGAAAGACAAGUAUCAAUGAAAAUUCAGCUCAUUCUUGAAAAAGAUCAAUGGUUUCUUACCUUCUCGUCCCCGAAUUUUGCCCAAAAACGUGCCAUGGCUUUCUCGUAAGGAUCUUGAGGUAGCAAAGGAGCUUCCUUCCAUGUCUCGUCUAUAUACUCAAGAAUUACCAGCGAUUCACAGAUUGGUUUGCCUUUGUGCACAAGCACAGGAACCUUUUUGUGAAUAGGAUUAUACUGGAGGAGUUCAGGGCUCUUCUGGCUUAAAUCUUCAAAAAUGGCAUCAUAUUCAAUCCCUUUGAUAUGUAGCGCCCAAACAAUCCUCAAACCAAAUCGGCUUGACCAUGUAGUGUGAAGCUUGAGUUCUUCUGCCAUGUUGUUUUGCAAGUGAUAUCUCAAUAUUAAAACAAGCUCUGAUGUCAGCCAUUGCGUUUCAAAGCGUGGAAAUUUCUCAAUUAGAAGACAAAUAUGAACCACUCUGCUUUGUUUGAAUCUUCGGAGGGGAUCAUGAAUUUCUUACAUUUAUAUGAUUUGGACUUUGCUUAUCACAACAUUAUGAGUGGAGGUGACAACCCAAAAAAAUUGUUUCACUUCUUUUGUAUUGACUUUUCUUCAGACGUCUGGUAGUCCAUGUUGAUAGGAGCUUUAUUCCCCAAAAAUACUCAAGCAUAUUACUAAUGUUUUUCAAGUCGGUUCCACAUUUCUUUAGUUUCAACACUUAGCACCUCUAAUUAUUCUCUAUCAGUUUCUCAGAAUUUAUCUUGUACCCAAAGAGCAGAAGGUUAACAUCUUUGGAUUUCAUUUUUAUAAAAUUUCUUUCAGUUAUCAAAAGUUUAGAAACUGAAAAGGAUGUAAUUAUGAAUGGAAAAAAUGUGAAUAACUCAAGAAAAAGUAAGUAAUUUUUAAGAGAAAUGAGAUCAAUUGCCCUCUUACCAUUUGAAUAAAAGAAAAUGGUCUUUAAGAUCUUGUGGGAGUCUUCUUGUGUGUUAUAAUCUUUACGGGAAUGAAUCGUACAUGUUGGUUGAGAAUCGCUCGGGAAUUCAUUGAUAAUGACUUUGCCAUGUUCUAGGGAGGCUACUCUUCUUUUUUGUUGAUCGAGGCGCUUUCCCUCAUUCCACUCGUCCAGCCCUCUUCACGAACUUGUACAAUUGAUGCCACAAAGAUAGCAAACUCUAUUAUCAAAGAAAUAAGGAAAGAGGCGACAAUUUGGCACCAAAUAUCUGGAGGUGUGGAAAGAGCAACUGUGAUAAGCGGAAAAAAUCAUUAAAAAAAAAAAAAGACAAUUGUUUGUGGAGAUUUCUAUAGAAAGAUCCCUUGGUUCUGGCAAACGGAUCACACUUGUGAAAAGGCCAUAAAAUCAAAAACAUUUUGUGAAUGGCCUACAAAUCCAAUUUAGGCUGCU